GGGAGGAUAUUGCGCAAUGGGGGAAGACCCUGACGCAGCGACGCCGCGUGCGGGAUGAAGGCCUUCGGGUUGUAAACCGCUUUACAGCAGGGACGAAGCGUGAGUGACGGUACCUGCAGAAGAAGCGCCGGCUAACUACGUGCCAGCAGCCGCGGUAACACGUAGGGCGCGAGCGUUGUCCGGAAUUAUUGGGCGUAAAGAGCUCGUAGGCGGCCUGUUGCGUCCGCUGUGAAAGCCCGGGGCUUAACCCCGGGUCUGCAGUGGAUACGGGCAGGCUAGAGGUA
This 284-nucleotide ribosomal RNA is filed under the name uncultured Actinomycetales bacterium. RNAcentral describes it as "partial 16S ribosomal RNA". It matches the Rfam family "Bacterial small subunit ribosomal RNA", at positions 355 to 649 of the family's 1533-position model. Lineage: Bacteria; Bacillati; Actinomycetota; Actinomycetes; Actinomycetales. The record is from RNAcentral.